GUCACCUGGACAUUUUGUUAAAAUGCAGAUUCUAGUCAGCAUAUCUGGGGUACACUCGGAGAUUCUGUAUUUUUAACAAAUGUCCAGGUGAUGCUAA
Molecule: microRNA precursor, 97 nt
Filed under: Canis lupus familiaris (dog)
Lineage: Eukaryota; Metazoa; Chordata; Mammalia; Carnivora; Canidae
Also listed under: 2 other names
Description: mir-544 microRNA precursor family
Rfam family: mir-544 microRNA precursor family
Source: Rfam by way of RNAcentral